CUACGGGUGGCAGCAGUGGGGAAUAUUGGACAAUGGGGGAAACCCUGAUCCAGCAAUGCCGCGUGUGUGAAGAAGGCCUGCGGGUUGUAAAGCACUUUCGGUUGGGAGGACUGCUUCUAGCACUAAUAUUGUUGGAAGUUGACGUUACCUUCAGAAGAAGCACCGGGUAACUCCGUGCCAGCAGCCGCGGUAAUACGGAGGAUGCAAGCGUUAAUCGGAAUUACUGGGCGUAAAGCGCGCGUAGGCGGCUAGAUCAGUCGGGUGUGAAAGCCCCGGGCUUAACCUGGGAACUGCAUCCGAUACUGUCUAGCUUGAGUACAGGAGAGGAGAGUGGAAUUCCACAUGUAGCGGUGAAAUGCGUAGAUAUGUGGAGGAACACCAAUGGCGAAGGCAGCUCUCUGGCCUGAUACUGACGCUGAGGUGCGAAAGCGUGGGGAGCAAACAGGAUUAGAUACCCCAGUAGUC
This 465-nucleotide ribosomal RNA is filed under the name uncultured bacterium. Its description in RNAcentral is "partial 16S ribosomal RNA". It matches the Rfam family "Bacterial small subunit ribosomal RNA", at positions 339 to 795 of the family's 1533-position model. The record is from RNAcentral.